UAGUAACUGCGAGUGAAGCGGGAAAAGCUCAAAUUUAAAAUCUGGCAGAUGCUUGUCUGUCCGAGUUGUAACCUAGAGAAGUGUAACCUGUGCUGGACCAUGUACAAGUCUCCUGGAAUGGAGCAUCAUAGAGGGUGAGAAUCCUGUCUUUGACACGGACUACCAGUGCAUUGUGGUUGCGUACUCAACGAGUCGAGUUGUUUGGGAAUGCAGCUCUAAAUGGGUGGUAAAUUCCAUCUAAAGCUAAAUAUUGGCGAGAGACCGAUAGCGAACAAGUACCGUGAGGGAAAGAUGAAAAGAACUUUGGAAAGAGAGUUAAACAGUAUGUGAAAUUGUUGAAAGGGAAACGCUUGAAGUCAGCUGCAUUGGCUGGGGAUCAAGCCAGCUUAUUUGCUGGGUGUACUUCCUGGUUGAUGGGCCAACAUCAGUUUUGACCAUCAGAGAAAGGCAGAGGGAAUGUGGCACCUUUAUAGGUGUGUUAUAGCCCUUGGUUGUAUGUGGUGGUUGGGACUGAGGAUAGCAGCGUGCCACAAGGCCGGGUUUCGACCACGUUCACGCUUUGGAUGUUGGCAUAAUGGCUUUAAGCGACCCGUCUUGAAACACGGACCAAGGAGUCUAACAUGCAUGCAAGUGUUUGGGUGGAAAACUCAAGUGCAUAAUGAAAGUGAAAGUUGAGAUCCCUCUCACAGGGGAGCAUCGACGCCCGGACCAGAACUUUUGGGACGGAUCUGCGGUAGAGCAAGCAUGUUGGGACCCGAAAGAUGGUGAACUAUGCCUGAAUAGGGUGAAGCCAGAGGAAACUCUGGUGGAGGCUCGUAGCGAUUCUGACGUGCAAAUCGAUCGUCGAAUUUGGGUAU
This 857-nucleotide ribosomal RNA is filed under the name Amanita subpallidorosea. RNAcentral's name for it is "LSU rRNA". It matches the Rfam family "Eukaryotic large subunit ribosomal RNA", at positions 81 to 918 of the family's 3401-position model. Lineage: Eukaryota; Fungi; Basidiomycota; Agaricomycetes; Agaricales; Amanitaceae. The record is from RNAcentral.